Molecule: unclassified non-coding RNA, 96 nt
Organism: Microcebus murinus (gray mouse lemur)
Lineage: Eukaryota; Metazoa; Chordata; Mammalia; Primates; Cheirogaleidae
Rfam family: Y RNA
About the family: Y RNAs are components of the Ro ribonucleoprotein particle (Ro RNP), in association with Ro60 and La proteins.
Source: Ensembl
GGCUGGUCCGAUGGUAGUGGGUUAUCAGAACUUAUUCACAUUAGUGUCACUAAAGUUGGUAUUCAACCCCCCACUGCUAAAUUUGACUGGCUUUUA